GACGAACGCUGGCGGCGUGCUUAACACAUGCAAGUCGAACGGAAAGGCCCUUCGGGGUACUCGAGUGGCGAACGGGUGAGUAACACGUGGGUGAUCUGCCCUGCACUUUGGGAUAAGCCUGGGAAACUGGGUCUAAUACCGAAUAGGACCGCGCGCUUCAUGGUGUGUGGUGGAAAGCUUUUGCGGUGUGGGAUGGGCCCGCGACCUAUCAGCUUGUUGGUGGGGUAAUGGCCUACCAAGGCGACGACGGGUAGCCGGCCUGAGAGGGUGACCGGCCACACUGGGACUGAGAUACGGCCCAGACUCCUACGGGAGGCAGCAGUGGGGAAUAUUGCACAAUGGGCGCAAGCCUGAUGCAGCGACGCCGCGUGAGGGAUGACGGCCUUCGGGUUGUAAACCUCUUUCACCAGGGACGAAGCGCAAGUGACGGUACCUGGAGAAGAAGCACCGGCCAACUACGUG
RNAcentral lists this ribosomal RNA (462 nucleotides) under uncultured bacterium. RNAcentral's name for it is "partial 16S ribosomal RNA". It matches the Rfam family "Bacterial small subunit ribosomal RNA", at positions 28 to 507 of the family's 1533-position model. The record is from RNAcentral.